AGAAACCGUUGAUAGAGAUGGUCU
RNAcentral lists this non-coding RNA (24 nucleotides) under Arabidopsis thaliana (thale cress). The record is from RNAcentral. Lineage: Eukaryota; Viridiplantae; Streptophyta; Magnoliopsida; Brassicales; Brassicaceae.